Molecule: ribosomal RNA, 451 nt
Filed under: uncultured bacterium
Lineage: Bacteria
Description: bacterial SSU rRNA
Rfam family: Bacterial small subunit ribosomal RNA
Source: RNAcentral
GUGGGGAAUUUUGCGCAAUGGGCGAAAGCCUGACGCAGCAACGCCGCGUGAGUGAUGAAGGCUUUCGGGUCGUAAAGCUCUGUCGAGGGGAAAGAAGUGUAUUGUGGCUAAUAUCCACGAUACUUGACGGUACCCCUAAAGGAAGCACCGGCUAACUCCGUGCCAGCAGCCGCGGUAAUACGGGGGGUGCAAGCGUUGUUCGGAAUUAUUGGGCGUAAAGAGCGUGUAGGCGGUUUGUUAAGUCUGAUGUGAAAGCCCUGGGCUCAACCCAGGAAGUGCAUUGGAAACUGGCAGACUUGAAUACGGGAGAGGGCAGUGGAAUUCCUAGUGUAGGAGUGAAAUCCGUAGAUAUUAGGAGGAACACCGGUGGCGAAGGCGGCUGCCUGGACCGAUAUUGACGCUGAGACGCGAAAGCGUGGGUAGCAAACAGGAUUAGAUACCCGUGUAGUCC